RNAcentral lists this ribosomal RNA (468 nucleotides) under uncultured bacterium. Its description in RNAcentral is "partial 16S ribosomal RNA". It matches the Rfam family "Bacterial small subunit ribosomal RNA", at positions 28 to 507 of the family's 1533-position model. The record is from RNAcentral.
GACGAACGCUGGCGGCGUGCUUAACACGUGCAAGUCGAACGGAAAGGCCCUGCUUUUGUGGGGUGCUCGAGUGGCGAACGGGUGAGUAACACGUGAGUAACCUGCCCUUGACUUUGGGAUAACUUCAGGAAACUGGGGCUAAUACCGGAUAGGAGCUCCUGCUGCAUGGUGGGGGUUGGAAAGUUUCGGCGGUUGGGGAUGGACUCGCGGCUUAUCAGCUUGUUGGUGGGGUAGUGGCUUACCAAGGCUUUGACGGGUAGCCGGCCUGAGAGGGUGACCGGCCACAUUGGGACUGAGAUACGGCCCAGACUCCUACGGGAGGCAGCAGUGGGGAAUAGUGCACAAUGGGCGGAAGCCUGAUGCAGCAACGCCGCGUGCGGGAUGACGGCCUUCGGGUUGUAAACCGCUUUCGCCUGUGACGAAGCGUGAGUGACGGUAAUGGGUAAAGAAGCACCGGCUAACUACGUG